GAUGAACGCUGGCGGCGUGCCUAAUACAUGCAAGUCGAGCGAACGGACGAGGAGCUUGCUUUUCUGAUGUUAGCGGCGGACGGGUGAGUAACACGUGGAUAACCUACCUAUAAGACUGGGAUAACUUCGGGAAACCGGAGCUAAUACCGGAUAAUAUUUUGAACCGCAUGGUUCAAUAGUGAAAGACGGUCUUGCUGUCACUUAUAGAUGGAUCCGCGCUGCAUUAGCUAGUUGGUAAGGUAACGGCUUACCAAGGCAACGAUGCGUAGCCGACCUGAGAGGGUGAUCGGCCACACUGGAACUGAGACACGGUCCAGACUCCUACGGGAGGCAGCAGUAGGGAAUCUUCCGCAAUGGGCGAAAGCCUGACGGAGCAACGCCGCGUGAGUGAUGAAGGUCUUCGGAUCGUAAAACUCUGUUAUUAGGGAAGAACAUAUGUGUAAGUAACUGUGCACAUCUUGACGGUACCUAAUCAGAAAGCCACGGCUAACUACGUG
Molecule: ribosomal RNA, 497 nt
Filed under: uncultured bacterium
Lineage: Bacteria
Description: partial 16S ribosomal RNA
Rfam family: Bacterial small subunit ribosomal RNA
Source: RNAcentral